RNAcentral lists this ribosomal RNA (466 nucleotides) under uncultured bacterium. Its description in RNAcentral is "partial 16S ribosomal RNA". It matches the Rfam family "Bacterial small subunit ribosomal RNA", at positions 28 to 507 of the family's 1533-position model. The record is from RNAcentral.
GAUGAACGCUGGCGGCGUGCUUAACACAUGCAAGUCGAACGAUGAAGCCCAGCUUGCUGGGUGGAUUAGUGGCGAACGGGUGAGUAACACGUGAGUAACCUGCCCUUAACUCUGGGAUAAGCCUGGGAAACUGGGUCUAAUACCGGAUAGGAGCGCCUACCGCAUGGUGGGUGUUGGAAAGAUUUAUCGGUUUUGGAUGGACUCGCGGCCUAUCAGCUUGUUGGGGAGGGAAUGGCGCACCAAGGCGACGACGGGUAGCCGGCCUGAGAGGGUGACCGGCCACACUGGGACUGAGACACGGCCCAGAAUCCUACGGGAGGCAGCAGUGGGGAAUAUUGCACAAUGGGCGAAAGCCUGAUGCAGCGACGCCGCGUGAGGGAUGACGGCCUUCGGGUUGUAAACCUCUUUCAGUAGGGAAGAAGCGAAAGUGACGGUACCUGCAGAAGAAGCACCGGCUAACUACGUG